CCUCUUGUGUUAAGGUGCAUCUAGUGCAGUUAGUGAAGCAGCUUAGAAUCUACUGCCCUAAAUGCCCCUUCUGGCACAGGCU
This 82-nucleotide microRNA precursor is filed under the name Equus asinus (donkey). RNAcentral's name for it is "mir-17 microRNA precursor family". It matches the Rfam family "mir-17 microRNA precursor family". From Rfam's summary of the family: This family represents the microRNA (miRNA) precursor mir-17, family, which includes mir-20, mir-91, and mir-103. miRNAs are transcribed as ~70nt precursors (modelled here) and subsequently processed by the Dicer enzyme to give a ~22nt product. RNAcentral also lists the same sequence under 1 other name. Lineage: Eukaryota; Metazoa; Chordata; Mammalia; Perissodactyla; Equidae. The record is from Rfam by way of RNAcentral.